This 429-nucleotide ribosomal RNA is filed under the name uncultured bacterium. RNAcentral describes it as "bacterial SSU rRNA". It matches the Rfam family "Bacterial small subunit ribosomal RNA", at positions 355 to 796 of the family's 1533-position model. The record is from RNAcentral.
UCGAGAAUCUUCCACAAUGGACGAAAGUCUGAUGGAGCGACGCCGCGUGAUUGAUGAAGUCCUUCGGGACGUAAAGAUCUUUUAUGGGGGAGGAAGUAAUUGACGUUACCCCAUGAAUAAGAGGCUCCUAACUCUGUGCCAGCAGGAGCGGUAAUACAGAGGCCUCAAGCGUUACCCGGAAUCACUGGGCGUAAAGGGUGUGUAGGCGGUCGUGUUAGUCCUUCGUAAAAGCUUUUGGGCUUAACCCAGAAACUGCGGGGGAGAGGGCACGACUUCGAGGAUGCGAGGGGUAUAUGGAACUCAUGGUGUAGGGGUGAAAUCCGUUGAUAUCAUGGGGAACACCAAAAGCGAAGGCAAUAUACUGGCGCACUCCUGACGCUGAAACACGAAAGCGUGGGAAUCGAACGGGAUUAGAUACCCCCGUAGUCC